This 253-nucleotide ribosomal RNA is filed under the name uncultured bacterium. RNAcentral describes it as "partial 16S ribosomal RNA". It matches the Rfam family "Bacterial small subunit ribosomal RNA", at positions 524 to 776 of the family's 1533-position model. The record is from RNAcentral.
GACAGAGGCCCCAAGCGUUAGGCGGAAUCACUGGGCUUAAAGCGUGUGUAGGCGGACUUCUAAGUGCCUUGUGAAAUCCCACGGCUCAACCGUGGAACUGCUGGGCAUACUGGGAGUCUUGGGCCAUUCAGGGGUAACUGGAACAAGCGGUGGAGCGGUGAAAUGCGUAGAUAUCGCUUGGAACGCCGAAGGUGAAAACAGGUUGCUGGGGAUGUGCCGACGCUGAGACACGAAAGCCAGGGGAGCAAACGGG